AGUAAAAGUCGUAACAAGGUUUCCGUAGGUGAACCUGCGGAAGGAUCAUUAUCGAGUUUUUGAACGGGUUGUCUGCUGGCUCGAAAGAGCAUGUGCACGCCUGGCUCAUCCACUCUCAACUUCUGUGCACUUUUCGUAGGCCGGCUUGUGGGUGUCGCGUUCGCGCGCACUUGUAGGUCUGGCUUAUGCUCUACCACAAACGAUUCAGUUAUAGAAUGUCUUUACUUUGCGAUAACGCAAUUAUAUACAACUUUCAGCAACGGAUCUCUUGGCUCUCGCAUCGAUGAAGAACGCAGCGAAAUGCGAUAAGUAAUGUGAAUUGCAGAAUUCAGUGAAUCAUCGAAUCUUUGAACGCACCUUGCGCUCCUUGGUAUUCCGAGGAGCACGCCUGUUUGAGUCUCGUGGAAUUCUCAACCUUCGACUUUGUUGUCGAGGGCUUGGACUUGGAGGUCGUGCCGGCUCUCGUAGUCGGCUCCUCUGAAAUGCAUCAGUGCGAACGUUACCAGCCGCUUCAGCGUGAUAAUUAUCUGCGCUGCUGUGGAGGGUAUGUCAGUGUUCGUGCUUCGAACCGUCUUCGGACGACAUUUCAUCUCUGAGCUCAAAUCAGGUAGGACUACCCGCUGAACUUAAGCAUAUCAAUAAGCGGAGGA
This 650-nucleotide ribosomal RNA is filed under the name uncultured fungus. RNAcentral describes it as "eukaryotic LSU rRNA". The stretch from base 249 to 402 matches the Rfam family "5.8S ribosomal RNA". The record is from RNAcentral. Lineage: Eukaryota; Fungi.